ACCCUUGCUCAAUCCCCAUGGCCAUCCUUACCCCUGCGCGGGAUCAGGAGCUGGAGAAGGCCCAGGAAGCUGCCCCAGCGAUCGGGGCACCCCCUGGGUCCUCACGGACCCCCACUGGAGGGCUAAAGUGA
This 131-nucleotide long non-coding RNA is filed under the name Capra hircus (goat). RNAcentral describes it as "lncRNA (ENSCHIG00010000620.1)". The record is from RNAcentral. Lineage: Eukaryota; Metazoa; Chordata; Mammalia; Artiodactyla; Bovidae.